GUUAAUCAGAUUUUUCGUGAUAUUUUUUUAUUAAGUAAUUAAAAAUUAAAAUUUUAUGUUAAAAGUAAACUUAUUACCAAUAGAAAUAAAACGAAUAUCCGUCUCAUUGCCGUCAAUGUUAAUAUCAACAGUCAUAACAGAAAGUCACUUUUACGUUGUUCCCGAUAAAUUUCUCUAUGUUUCAAUUGCAAAUAUUCCUUCCGGUCGUUACCGGUCACCAUAACUAAAGUACUUUGCAUAUUCGUAUAUUUUCUAUGAUUAUUACCUGCCAAUUCUCAUAAGCAGAAUUUGACAGCUGAAGCGAAAAUCUUUGUUUAAAGCAAUGUAGUGUUG
Molecule: long non-coding RNA, 333 nt
Filed under: Mytilus galloprovincialis (Mediterranean mussel)
Lineage: Eukaryota; Metazoa; Mollusca; Bivalvia; Mytilida; Mytilidae
Source: RNAcentral